Molecule: ribosomal RNA, 270 nt
Filed under: uncultured bacterium
Lineage: Bacteria
Description: partial 16S ribosomal RNA
Rfam family: Bacterial small subunit ribosomal RNA
Source: RNAcentral
GUCCUAGCCGUAAACGAUGGGUGCUAGGUAGUGGUCGUUCCUAUGCGAUCACUGCUGAAGCAAACGUAUUAAGCACCCCGCCUGGGGAGUACGGUCGCAAGACUAAAACUCAAAGGAAUUGACGGGGGCUCACACAAGCGGUGGAGCAUGUUGCUUAAUUCGAAGCAACGCGAAGAACCUUACCUGGGCUUGACAUGCUGGUGGUAGCGGCCCGAAAGGGUUUGCGACUCUCUCCCGAGAGAGCCAGCACAGGUGUUGCAUGGCUGUCGU